GACGUUUCCUUCUGGGUGCUACAAACUUCGUGGCAAACUGAAUAUACUCUGUUCAGGGUGAAAGAAAACAGCAUGCCCGUAUUAUGUGAAACCCGAGUGACACAUCAGGAAGCAAAUAACUAGUUUUUAUUAUAGACGUCAUAUUAGCAAAUUUGCCAAGUCAUUCUAACCAUAUAUACAAGUAUACUUUGUUUUGAAUAUUACUGAAACCAUGCAAAUGUAAAGGAAUACUCAAAUUAUUUACACCAAAGAAGUCUUCCCAGAUUGACCCAAUUGCCAAGAAGUAAUCCGGUGAGCAACAGUAUCACAAACAAUGUUAAGCAUAACAUUUCACGCGUUCAGACACUAAAUCCCAAAUCUCAUAAAAUUAACUAACUUGUUUUUUUAGAUCUUAAACUAUAUAUAUACACACACUAGUCGAUGGUACUAAUGUCAAAAUUUGUGUUUUAGUAUUUGGUAUGCAUAUGCAAUGUAUUAAACGAAGUUUAAUAACUACUUCCGUUAUGAUUAA
Long non-coding RNA from Bactrocera oleae (olive fruit fly), 511 nucleotides. RefSeq lists it as uncharacterized. The record is from RefSeq and is a predicted model, not a curated record. Lineage: Eukaryota; Metazoa; Arthropoda; Insecta; Diptera; Tephritidae.